This 506-nucleotide ribosomal RNA is filed under the name uncultured bacterium. RNAcentral describes it as "partial 16S ribosomal RNA". It matches the Rfam family "Bacterial small subunit ribosomal RNA", at positions 29 to 523 of the family's 1533-position model. The record is from RNAcentral.
AGUGAACGCUGGCGGUAGGCCUAACACAUGCAAGUCGAACGGCAGCACAGGAGAGCUUGCUCUCUGGGUGGCGAGUGGCGGACGGGUGAGGAAUACAUCGGAAUCUACUUUUUCGUGGGGGAUAACGUAGGGAAACUUACGCUAAUACCGCAUACGACCUACGGGUGAAAGCCGGGGACCUUCGGGCCUUGCGCGAUUGAAUGAGCCGAUGUCGGAUUAGCUAGUUGGCGGGGUAAAGGCCCACCAAGGCGACGAUCCGUAGCUGGUCUGAGAGGAUGAUCAGCCACACUGGAACUGAGACACGGUCCAGACUCCUACGGGAGGCAGCAGUGGGGAAUAUUGGACAAUGGGCGCAAACCUGAUCCAGCCAUACCGCGUGGGUGAAGAAGGCCUUCGGGUUGAAAAGCCCUUUUGUUGGGAAAGAAAUCCAGCUGGCUAAUACCCGGUUGGGAUGACGGUACCCAAAGAAUAAGCACCGGCUAACUUCGUGCCAGCCGCCGCAGUAA